CAGUAGCCACGGUAAUACGUAGGUCCCGAGCGUUGUCCGGAUUUAUUGGGCGUAAAGGGAGCGCAGGCGGUUUAGUAAGUCUGAAGUUAAAGGCAUUGGCUCAACCAAUGUAUGCUUUGGAAACUGUUAGACUUGAGUGCAGAAGGGGAGAGUGGAAUUCCAUGUGUAGCGGUGAAAUGCGUAGAUAUAUGGAGGAACACCGGUGGCGAAAGCGGCUCUCUGGCCUGUCACUGACGCUGAGGCUCGAAAGCGUGGGUAGCGAACAGGAUUAGAGACCCCAGUAGUCCCUGUCUCUUAUACA
RNAcentral lists this ribosomal RNA (301 nucleotides) under uncultured bacterium. RNAcentral describes it as "partial 16S ribosomal RNA". It matches the Rfam family "Bacterial small subunit ribosomal RNA", at positions 509 to 808 of the family's 1533-position model. The record is from RNAcentral.